GUGAGGAAUAUUGGACAAUGGGCGCAAGCCUGAUCCAGCCAUGCCGCGUGCAGGAAGACGCAUCUAUGGUGUGUAAACUGCUUUUGUACGGGAAGAAACACUCCCUCGUGAGGGAGCUUGACGGUACCGUAAGAAUAAGGAUCGGCUAACUCCGUGCCAGCAGCCGCGGUAAUACGGAGGAUCCAAGCGUUAUCCGGAAUCAUUGGGUUUAAAGGGUCCGUAGGCGGUUUAAUAAGUCAGUGGUGAAAGCCCAUCGCUCAACGAUGGAACGGCCAUUGAUACUGUUAGACUUGAAUUACAAGGAAGUAACUAGAAUAUGUAGUGUAGCGGUGAAAUGCUUAGAUAUUACAUGGAAUACCAAUUGCGAAGGCAGGUUACUACUUGUGGAUUGACGCUGAUGGACGAAAGCGUGGGGAUCGAACAGGAUUAGAUACCCCUGUAGUCC
RNAcentral lists this ribosomal RNA (445 nucleotides) under uncultured bacterium. RNAcentral describes it as "partial 16S ribosomal RNA". It matches the Rfam family "Bacterial small subunit ribosomal RNA", at positions 354 to 796 of the family's 1533-position model. The record is from RNAcentral.